AUUUUCUAGGUCUUCCCUCAAAUCCCAAGUUUUUCUACAAUUUUCAUGCGCAAAUCCACACAUAAUUGAUAUAUUCAACUCAACAUAGGUGGGGAUAACUUACCUCUUCAUUGAUGAUGAAAAUAUUCUCUAAACAUCCUCCAAGCAUCGCCCCAAGCAAAGAAAAUAUGAUGAGAAAUGGACAAAAUCGGGUUUUAAACAACAUUCUGCCCCAGCUCUUUCC
This 223-nucleotide long non-coding RNA is filed under the name Nicotiana benthamiana. RNAcentral's name for it is "long non-coding RNA (NBEN_LNC033413)". Lineage: Eukaryota; Viridiplantae; Streptophyta; Magnoliopsida; Solanales; Solanaceae. The record is from RNAcentral.